GGAUGCGAUCGUACAAGCACUAAAGCACCGGAUUCCAUCAGAACUCUGAAGUUAAGCAUGCUAGGGCGAGAGUAGUGCUAGCAUAUGUUACCUCCUCGGAAGUCCUCGUGUUGCAUUCU
This 119-nucleotide ribosomal RNA is filed under the name Dichanthelium oligosanthes. The record is from RNAcentral. Lineage: Eukaryota; Viridiplantae; Streptophyta; Magnoliopsida; Poales; Poaceae.